AGAUGCUCAAAGUAAAUGCAAACCGAGAUUUAGAGUGGUUCGGUCAAUCUUGACCAACGUCCACUUUCGGCUUCCUCCUCCGAUGAGGUUACCGGUGUCCACUAGAGGCCUUCCUUCAAUAGGCGAAGACCAACCACCCUUUUACAAUUUCACUCCUUUUGACGGGCUUAGGAGACAACCCUUACAGAAUUUUCUUUCCUCUCUUGACAGAUCAAAAUUUGGAAGAAAAGAGGGAAGAGAACUUUCAACUUAUACAACACUUUUGAGCUCUAAAAAUCACAGAGUAAGAUUAGGAU
RNAcentral lists this long non-coding RNA (296 nucleotides) under Musa acuminata (dwarf banana). RNAcentral's name for it is "long non-coding RNA (MACU_LNC011434)". The record is from RNAcentral. Lineage: Eukaryota; Viridiplantae; Streptophyta; Magnoliopsida; Zingiberales; Musaceae.